GAUGAAGAACGUAGCGAAAUGCGAUAAGUAAUGUGAAUUGCAGAAUUCAGUGAAUCAUCGAAUCUUUGAACGCACCUUGCGCUCCUUGGUAUUCCGAGGAGCAUGCCUGUUUGAGUGUCAUUAAUAUAUCAACCUCUUCAGCUUAUGCUUGUUGAGUGUUGGAUGGUGGGGGUUUGCUGGUGUCUUAUGAAGUCAGCUCCUCUGAAAUGCAUUAGCGGUACAAUUUGUUGACCGUUCAUUGGUGUGAUAAAAAUAUCUACGCUAUUGACGUCAGUCAGUUCAGCUUCUAACAGUCCAUUGACUUGGACAAAUUUUUCAUUAAUGUGACCUCAAAUCAGGUAGGACUACCCGCUGAACUUAAGCAUAUCAAUAAGCGGAGGA
Molecule: unclassified non-coding RNA, 381 nt
Filed under: soil metagenome
Description: partial contains 5.8S ribosomal RNA, internal transcribed spacer 2, and large subunit ribosomal RNA
Rfam family: 5.8S ribosomal RNA (bases 1-120)
Source: RNAcentral